This 7732-nucleotide long non-coding RNA is filed under the name Nicotiana benthamiana. RNAcentral describes it as "long non-coding RNA (NBEN_LNC037947)". Lineage: Eukaryota; Viridiplantae; Streptophyta; Magnoliopsida; Solanales; Solanaceae. The record is from RNAcentral.
UCACGGUCCCAAUUCGCUCUCCAUAAACUGUCGUGAUGCCACCUAGUCUCUACGAUUAGAUAAACCUAAAAAUGUGGAAGAAAUAAUUAAAACCAAAAAUAACAAAAGGAAAACAGUAUUUAAAAUGCCGCUCGGCAUUACAAUACAACUUCUCGAAACUAACAGUAUUUCUCAAAACGCGAAAUCUCAUGAAACCACAAGCAUUUGAAUAUCUAUCAGUGUCUACUCCAGAAUAUCUAACAGGGAAAAAAUACAGAAGGUCUAAUACAUAAAAAAGAGAGUAGAGAGGGACUCCUCGGUCUGUGGACGUGGCAGAUAUACCACGAAAUCUGUGGAACAGUCGCCUCACCUCAAAAGUGAUAGGACUGAGUCGAAGUACUUGGAUCUACAUAUGCACAAAAAGUGUAUGAGUACACCACAGCGGUACUUAGUAAGUGUCAAGUCAAACCUCGAUCGGGUAGUGACGAGGAAGUCAGGGCCCCACUGAGGUUAAAUAAAAUGUUUAGUUCCACAGUGUAGAAUAGAGCACUAUAAAUAAGUACAUCAAAAGUAGCACGGAUAUAAAGGACAACAACAUCAACUACAGAGACAAAGUAAAUACAGAGAGAAAAAUACGGCUCAACACAAAGAUAACAACGGGGGAUCUCCAAUGAUACUGUCUUCUAGUCCCAAAUAGAAAUAUCCAGUGGAUCACCCGGGAUACCGUCCCGUAGUCCAACUCAUAAUACGAGAGGAUCUCCCGGAAUACCAAUCCGUAGUCCCAAAUGUAUCGGUACAGGGAGAAUCUACCAGGUGCAGUCCUGUAGUUUCAUUGUAAAUGUGCAGGGUGGGUCUCCUGGAAUACCGCUCCGUAAUCCAAAAAUAAACAUACAGGGGGAUCUCCCGGGAUACCGUCCCGUCGUUCCAAAGUAAAACAUGCAGCAACAAUACAAGGAAUACUCACGUAAGCUCAAUUCUGUACCAAGUAAAAUAGGUAAUUCUAACCUAACAUGCUUCACGUAAUGCAAUUAAUAUGAUUUAAGCAAAUAAGCAAUUAAAUAAUCAAAACAUGUUUUUCUAAGCUAACAACAAGCUUAGAUUGCAAGUAGUAUAAAAUAGAAAAGCAGAACACAAUUGAAACUACUUAAAGAAAAUCGCAUUUGCAACAAUUAGUUCAAGUACGCACUCGGCAGCUCACGUACAAGGCAUUUCAAUUAUCAAAUACACUGAAUCUUAAGGGGAAGGUCCCCCACACAAGGUUAGGCAAGUCACUUACCUCGAACCACCUCAAAUCAAUCCAAAACCAUGCUCUUGCCACGAGUACUCAACUCAAAAUAAACCAAAUCUAUUCAAUUCAAUUGCACAUUGUAACUAACAUUUUACGUAACUGAUUCUGCAAUUAUAUUCUAAGCUAAUACGCGAAAUUAGGUAAAAUAACCAAAACGUCCCUCGGUCCCACGUCUCGAAAUCGGGUGAAAUUUAUAUUUUCAGAAUCCUCAUACUCUCACGAGUUCAUGCAUACCAAAAUUAUCCAAAUAUAAUGUCAAAUUCCCAAUCAAAAUUCGAAUUCUAGGUCUAAGAACUUUCUUCCAACUUUUCCCCAAUUUUCAUCUCCAAUCCGACAUUAAAUGAUGAAACUAAAUAUAGAUUGAUGGAAUAUAACUAGAAAGGGUUAAAGAAUUGCUACCCAAUAAUUUUCUCCCAAAAUCACCCUCUUCCGAGCUCCAAUUUGAUUUUUUUCAAGUUUUGAACCAAUUCCUCAAAUUUUUAUAUUUCUGCCUAGAAAUUACCGCAUAUGCGGUCAAGGGAACGCUCCUAUGGUCCCGCUCAUGUAGAAGAAUGCACUGCAGGUGCAAAUAUUCACUUAACGGGCUAGGUUCACAUCUACGGUCGCUUGGUCGCAUCUACGGCACCGUAUUUGCAAAAAUCCAGCCACACCUGCGGAAUCCUUGAGCUUGGCCCAAACUCGCUUCUGCAGUCACUUAGCCGCUUUUGCGGCGCCGCACUUGCGGUCCCACACACGCAGUUGCGGUUAUGACAGGUUCAGCAAACUCAAUUUCUCCCUAAGUCCAAUUCUACUUCCAUUAAGCAUCCGAAACUCACCCGAGGCCCCUAGACCUCUACCAAUUAUACCAACCAGUCCUAUAAUAUCAAACGAACGUAUUCCAACCCUCGAAUCGUAUCAAACAACACUAAAACCACAAAUCACUCUCCAAUCCAAGCCUAAGAAUUUUCAAAACUUCCAAAGUACGCUUUUGAUCAAAAAGUCUAUCUAACCUCAUCCGAAUGACAUGAAAUUUUGCACACACAUCAGAUUCAACACUAUGGAGCUACUCCAACUUAUGAAAUUCCAUUUCGACCCUCGGAUCAAGAUCUCACCGUGAUAGAGACAUAACUGAAGUAGUGAUCGAUCUCACCGUGAUAGAGACAUAACUGAAGUAAUGUUCGAUCUCACCGUGAUCGACCGGCUUGUUACAUCCUCCCACACUUAAACAUUCAUUCGUCCUCAAACGAGCAUAGAGACAUAACUGAAGUAGUGAAAAGAUGAGGGUAUCGGCUACGCAUAUCCCGCUCGGUCUCCAAGGUUGCUUCCUCGACAGACUGACCCCGAUACUAAACCUUUACUGAUGCAAUGUUAUUUGACCGCAGCUUUCGAAUCUGCCUCUCCAACAUCGCCAUUGGCUCCUCAACAUAUGAUAGAUCCUUGUCCAACUAGACUAAACUAAAAUGCAACACGUGCGAUGGGUCACCGUGAUACCUCCGUAGCAUCAAAAUAUGAAAUAUCGGAUGAACUCCUUCCAAGCUGGGAGGUAAGGCGAGCUCAUAAGCAACCUCCCCAACACGCCUCAAUAUCCUCGAACUCAAUUUCCUUUCUUCCCAAAUCUCAUAAUGCCCUUCAUAGGUGAAACCCAUAGCAGAACCCGCUCUCCAAUCAUAUAGGAAACAUCACGAACCUUCCGGUCCGCGUAACUCUUCUGUCUGGACUAGUUGUACGGAGUCUAUCCCUAAUCACCGUAACUUUCUCCAAAGCAUCCUGAACCAAGUCUGUGUCCAAUAAUAUGGCCUCACCCGGCUCAAACCAACCCACCGGGAAUCUACACUGCCUACCAUAUAAAGCCUCAUUACGGUGCUAUAUGAAUGUUGGACUAAUAGUUGUUGUUGUAAGCAAACUCCGCCACUAAAAGGAACUGAUCCCAAGACCUUCCAAACUCAAUCACACACGCAUGGAGCAUAUCCUCAAGAAUAAAAAUAGUACACUCGGACUGCUAGUCUAUCUGAGGGUGAAAUGAUGUGUUCAACUCUACCUGAGUAUCCAACUCAUGGUGAAUGGCCCUCCAGAACGAUGAUGUGAACUGAGUACCUCUAUCUGAAAUGAUGGAAGCUGGAAUACCAUGCAGACAAACAAUCUUUCAGAUAUAAAUAUUCGCCAAAUGCUUCGAAGAAUAAGUAGUACACAUAGGAAUGAAGUGCGCGAACUUGGUCAGCUGAUCCACAAUCAUACAAAUGGCAUUGAACUUCUUCAAAGUCCAGGAGAGUCCAACUACUAAAUCCAUGAUGAUCCUCUUCCACUUCCACUCCGGAAUCUCUAUCUAUUGAAGCAAUCCACCUGGUCUCUGGUGCUCAUAAUUCACCUGAUGAUAAUUGAGGCACCGAGCUACGAAUCUAACUAUGACUUUCUUCAUCCGCCUCCACAAAUAGUGCUGCCUCAAAUCCUGAUACAUAUUCACAGAACCCGGAUGAUGGAAUUCCGCGAACUGCGGUCCUCCUCUAAAAUCAACUCCCGAAGCCCAUCAAUAUUGAGUACACAAAUUUGACCCAGUAUCCUCAAUACCACAUCAUCACUAAUAUUCACAUCUCUGGCAUCAUCGCACUGAACCUUGUCCUUGAUGACAAGAAAAUGAGGGUCCCUGAUACGAUCAAAUAAGGAAGACCGGGAAACUACGCAAGCUAGAACCCAACUAGGCUCCGAAAGAUCCAAUCUCACAAACUGCCUGGCUAAGGCCUCAACAUCCAUCGCUAUGGGCCUCUCCGAUGUUGGUAAAUAAGGCAAAUUCCCCAAACUCUCUGCCUGAUGACUCAAGGCAUCGACCACCACAUUAGCCUUGCCUGAGUGAUACAGAAUAGUGAUAUCAUAGUCCUUCAGCAACUCUAGACAUCUCCUAUGGUGCAAAUUUAGAUCAUUGUGCUUGAACAGGUGCUGCAAGCUCCGAUGAUUAGUGUAAAUCUCACAAGAAACAUCGUACAAAUAAUGACGCCAGAUCUUCAAGGCGUGAACAAUAUCAACUAACUCAAAGUCAUGGACAUGAUAAUUCUUCUCAUGUAAUUUCAACUAUCUAGACACGUAGACAAUCACCCUACCGUCUUACAUCAAUAACGCUCCAAGGCCAAUCCUCAAGGGAUUACAAUAGACAGUAUAAGACCCCAAACUUGUAGGCAAUAUCAAAACUGGGGCUGUAGUCAAAGAUGUCUUGAGCUUCUGAAAGCUCGCCUCACACUCUUCCGUUUAUUGGAACGGAGCACCCUUCUGGGUCAGUCUGGUCAUAAGUGUUGUAAUAGAUGAAAACCCCUUAUCGAAUCUACAGUAAUAACCCUCCAAGCUAAGAAAACUACAGAUCACUGUAGUUGAUGAUUGUCUGCGCCAACUCUGUAUUGCCUUUACUUUCUUUGGAUCCAGCCGUAUACCCUCACUCGACACCACAUGACCCAAGAAAGCCACGUAAUCCAACCAAAACUCACAUUUCGAGAACUUUGCAUGUAACUUCUUUUCCCUCAAAGUUUGAAGCACUGUCUCAGGUAGUGCUCAUGAUCUUCUGGACUCCGGGAGUAUACAAGAAUAUCAUUAAUAAAGACAAUGACAAACGAAUCAAGAUAUGGUUGGAACAGACUGUGCAUCAAAUGCAUACAUGCUGCUGGGGCACUGGUCAGCCCAAAUGACAUAACAAGGAACUCAUUAUGACCUUAUCGAGCCUAGAAGGCAGUCUUCAGGAUAUCUGGAUUCCGAAUCUUCAACUGAUGGCAACCUGAGCGCAAGUCAAUCUUAGAAAACACUCGUGGGCCCUAAAGUUGGUCAAACAGAUCAUCAAUGUGAAGCAAAGGAUAGUGUUUCUUUACAGUAACUUUGUGCAACUGGCGAUAAUUAAUACACAUGCGCAUAGAACCAUCCUUUUUCUUCAUAAACAAGACAAGAGCACCCCAAAGUGAUACACUUGGACGAAUAAAACCCUUAUCAAGCAAUUCCUAUAACCGAUCUUUCAACUCCUUCAACUUAGGAGGAGCCAUACGAUAUAGAGGAAUAGAAAUGGGUUGAGUGCCCGGCAACAUAUAAAUGCCAAAAUCAAUAUUUCAGGCGACAUGCCUAGAAGGUGAGGUGGAAACACAUCAGCAAAAUCCCGUACUAUCGGUUCUGAAUCAACAGAAGGGGUCGGGACUAAAUCAACAUAAGGGGUAUCGAUACUAACAUCUCUCACAUAAGCUAGAUAUGUGUCAUACCCAUUCUCAACCAUAUGACGAGCCUUAAGGAAAGAAAUAACUCUACUAGGAGUGUGAUCUAAAGCACCCCUCAAGUCCACACGUGGUACAUCUGGCAUAGCCAGCAACACGAUUUUGGCGUGACAAUCAAGAAUAGCAUAAUGAAGUUGUCACACCUCCUUUUUCACUACACCCCGCUAGGGCGUAAAGGAGUUUUUCCAAUUAAAGGACAGUGAGAAUGAGAUUUAAUUAUUAAGAUUUCAGAGUCACCACCUGGGAGAUUAAUGGUGUCCCAAGUCACUGGUUGAAUCCCGGACUGAGGAAAAAUAUGACUUUGUAUUACAAUCUGCGAACCAGAAAUUCGGAUAAGGAAUUCUAUUAACCCGGGAGAAGGUGUUAGGCAUUCCCGGGCUCCGUGGUUCUAGCACGGUCGCUCAACUGUUGUAUUUGAUUUUAUCUGAUUUUAAUACAUGCUAGCUUAUAUGCCUUUAUUCGUAAACCACUUUUGUCAUUAUUUAUUUUAAAAAAAUUGCGAUGUCGUAAAAACGCUCUUAGAACCACGUCACAAUCAAUGCAUGUGUGGUUGUCAACUCAUUUCGACUUCGUCGAGAUUUGGAUUUGGGUCGCAUCAUGCGCACCCAAGUUGAAGAAAGUAAUUUAAUUAAAUCACACCUAAAGAUUCUAACGUAGUAUUAUUUUGGUAAAGGCCGUGAAGUUCGCUAAAUGACCCUCCCGAAUUCUAAGAAUUUUAAAAGAUAUAAUUAAGCGAGGGCCACACAUUUGUAUUUUUAUUUGGUGAGACUCGUCUCAUUUGUUUUAAGGGCAAAUCUAAAGUAACUAGGAUUUUUUAAUUAAUUAUGUCUCUAAGAUAAAAGGGAAGAAUCCUUAAUUAAUGAUUGUUACAUAGGAAAGAGAGAAAAUCAAGUCCUGUUGCUUGAAGUAUUAGUGGCCCAACUUUUAUAUCUUAAUUUCAGGCCCAAGUAGUCCAUUCCAUACGACCCGCUUGGCUUAAACCCAUCAGACCUCCGGCAGGAGGUCUGGGAUCGAUUCCCAGGCUUGGACAAUCCAGGAUUUAUUUUCCAAACUAAAACCAAUCACUUUCGUAAAAUAGGCCAUCCACCACAGUUCUGAGGCCCAAGUAAUUUCAAUAGGACAACAAUAAGAUCCAAAAUAGUCCCUAGUAAUCCACACUCCAACAGGAAAUAAUUUCUAACAAUGAAAUUACAUAUUUCAGGUGAGCUUAGGAACGAACUCGGUUCAGUUUUCAAUUUAUAUGACUAUGCACCUGAGUUAUUUCAAUUCUACCAACCAAUAUUGCAUUCACAUAUUUUACUUCUAAAUCAAAUUAUUGCUAAAGCCUAUUGCAUUCACAUAUUCAUGUUAGGAUUUCAAAUCACUUCUAACUAAUGUUCAGUCUAAUACAAAUUUCAAAUCCAAAAAUUCAUACAGUCUUAAUUCUAAAGUGUACUAGAAAUCUACAGCCACAUGCUAAGCUAAUAGGAAAAUUAAGAGGCAAAUUCAUGUUAUAACAGUGCUUCAUCCUUUGAUUUCAUAGUCGUUCAAGUACAAUGAAUGAAGCUUCAAAGCAUUAAAGACGAUGAAUGUACCUGGAAUUGGCAUAGUGAAAAGGAAAAUAAGAUCAGCAAAUCACAGCCACUAUAUCAACGAGAGAGCACAGCUCACACACAACCCAUUCUCAGUUUAAAUCAUAACAGAAUCACCAGAAAUGAUAACUGAGUGAAAGUAACAAUAUACCAACUAAAACCACCUGGAUUUCCUACCAAACUUGUGUAAAAUCAAAGCCAGUGACCCUACGGAGCUUCAACAAACAGUCAUCGAUCCAGAAACCAUUGAAUUAACCAAAUGCAAUUUAAAACGACCAACACAACUCAAAUAAACCCAAAACUAACUCGAAUCUAAAUCUGGACACCUCUGAAGCUUCCAGCUAACAUAUAUGUCAAUUAUAACCAGCUUAAACAGAUCCAAAAACUACAGGAAACCAAACUAACAACUCUCUGAAAUUUCAAAACCCCAACGUUGAAUAAAAAACUGAAAAAUCAGCAACUAGAAUAGAAAUUAGCUUGAGUUCUCUAAUAGAACAGUAGUUUUUUGGGGUUUUUUAUUAGAUUUUCCCCUGUUCUUUUUUUUUUUUUGAAGUUUUUCUAUUGUUUUUGGUUUUUCCUUUUGAAGAAUGCUAAUAUCUAAAAGGAUUUGAAUCUGAAAUUUUCAUUCUCAGAUCUGUGUAGUUUUAAGAGUAUUUGGGGGGAGGGGGGGGGGGUUUAGG